GCACUGCUGAAGAGUCCCAUCAUAGGAUGAAACGGCCGUCUAGUGC
Molecule: non-coding RNA, 46 nt
Filed under: Schistosoma mansoni
Lineage: Eukaryota; Metazoa; Platyhelminthes; Trematoda; Strigeidida; Schistosomatidae
Source: RNAcentral